UCGCAUCAGAAAUUUGGAAGAGGUGACAAUAGGCAAGUUCAAGAAGGGUUUCAAGGGAAUAUGGUUCCUCAAGGGCAAUCUUACUAUGGAGGGAUA
This is a long non-coding RNA of Neltuma alba, 96 nucleotides long. RefSeq lists it as uncharacterized. The record is from RefSeq and is a predicted model, not a curated record. NCBI's taxonomy places the organism in Eukaryota, Viridiplantae, Streptophyta, Magnoliopsida, Fabales, Fabaceae. The transcript is spliced from 3 exons.